GAUGAACGCUGGCGGCGUGCCUAAUACAUGCAAGUCGAGCGAACGGACGAGAAGCUUGCUUCUCUGAUGUUAGCGGCGGACGGGUGAGUAACACGUGGAUAACCCACCUAUAAGACUGGGAUAACUUCGGGAAACCGGAGCUAAUACCGGAUGAUAUUUUGAACCGCAUGGUUCAAAAGUGAAAGACGGUCUUGCUGUCACUUAUAGAUGGAUCCGCGCUGCAUUAGCUAGUUGGUAAGGUAACGGCUUACCAAGGCAACGAUGCAUAGCCGACCUGAGAGGGUGAUCGGCCACACUGGAACUGAGACACGGUCCAGACUCCUACGGGAGGCAGCAGUAGGGAAUCUUCCGCAAUGGGCGAAAGCCUGACGGAGCAACGCCGCGUGAGUGAUGAAGGUCUUCGGAUCGUAAAACUCUGUUAUUAGGGAAGAACAUAUGUGUAAGUAACUGUGCACAUCUUGACGGUACCUAAUCAGAAAGCCACGGCUAACUACGUG
RNAcentral lists this ribosomal RNA (497 nucleotides) under uncultured bacterium. RNAcentral's name for it is "partial 16S ribosomal RNA". It matches the Rfam family "Bacterial small subunit ribosomal RNA", at positions 28 to 507 of the family's 1533-position model. The record is from RNAcentral.